UUAGGAAUAUUCGGCAAUGGGCGAAAGCCUGACCGAGCAAUGCCGCGUGUGAGAUGAAGGUCCUCUGGAUUGUAAAUCACUUUUAUUAGGGAAGAACGGUAAGUAUAGGAAAUGCUACUUACGUGACGGUACCUUUUGAAUAAGCCCCGGCUAACUACGUGCCAGCAGCCGCGGUAAUACGUAGGGGGCGAGCGUUAUCCGGAUUUAUUGGGCGUAAAGCGUGUGUAGGCGGUUUAUUAAGUCCGAGAUGAAAGGCUGAGGCUUAACCUCAGUUUGUUUCGGAAACUGGUAGACUAGAGUGCAGUAGAGGCAAUUGGAAUUCAUAGUGUAGCGGUAAAAUGCGUAGAUAUUAUGAGGAACAUCAGUGGCGAAGGCGAAUUGCUGGGCUGUUACUGACGCUGAGACACGAAAGCGUGGGGAGCAAAUAGG
This 429-nucleotide ribosomal RNA is filed under the name uncultured bacterium. RNAcentral describes it as "bacterial SSU rRNA". It matches the Rfam family "Bacterial small subunit ribosomal RNA", at positions 355 to 776 of the family's 1533-position model. RNAcentral also lists the same sequence under 1 other name. The record is from RNAcentral.